GUCAGAGGUUAUAUCUUAAUUCGAUCCGAUCAUGUUUUGAGUGCUGUGUGUUGUCGUGUGUCUCUCGUCGCUUUGUGUGUGUGUGUGUGUGUGUGUGUGCGACAUACAGAUCUGGAUGGUGUUGUUUGUAGAUAUCCUGUGUGGUUGUCUCUAGCGGUUUCUGGAAAAUGCUGAUACUGUUUGCAAAACUCUGUGUGUGUGUGUGUGUGUGUGUGUGUCUCUAGGGUUUCUGGGAAAUGGCUUGAUACUGUUGCAAAUAUGUGUGUUGGGUUUUAUGCGUGUGUGAUGUGCUGUCUUAGGGUUCUGG
Molecule: long non-coding RNA, 307 nt
Filed under: Aotus nancymaae (Ma's night monkey)
Lineage: Eukaryota; Metazoa; Chordata; Mammalia; Primates; Aotidae
Description: lncRNA (ENSANAG00000038539.1)
Source: RNAcentral